Non-coding RNA from Punica granatum (pomegranate), 496 nucleotides. NCBI's taxonomy places the organism in Eukaryota, Viridiplantae, Streptophyta, Magnoliopsida, Myrtales, Lythraceae. The record is from RefSeq and is a predicted model, not a curated record.
CCCUUUAACCAAAGAAAGGUGAGAGCUCAGAAAUGCCCUAUAAUUAGCUGCCCAGAUCUUCACGAGCAAACCCCUUUAAUUAACACUCCCCAACUCCAAACCCGUCUUAUCAUAACAUGUAGAGUACCGAGCUCCCAACUCCAAUGGCAGCCCCCAGCAUAUCUGGGGUAUGCCCUAAUUUGUUUCCUCCGUGUCGUCUUCGUCGGGUUUUGGGUCCGUGUUGUUCGGCGAUGCGCUAAUUAUCUCGAAUAUGACCGAGGAGACCCGAAAUAGCCGUGACUUAUGCAAGUUCAAGUGAAAGGGCUGAGUAUGUGUGCGUAUAUGUGUCUUCUGCAUGUAUGUCUGUAUUUCGUUAUUUCGAUAUGCUUUCCUAUGUUUCUGUCAUGUUAUGUGCAAUAUGAAUAAAUUGGCUCUCAGCCUUUAUGAGGGAUGAUUGGUAGCCUUAUAAAAAUCCCCUCACAAAUCCAUUAAGAAAGGGUCAUGAUAUUUUUAGUUA